This is a non-coding RNA of Pocillopora verrucosa, 271 nucleotides long. Lineage: Eukaryota; Metazoa; Cnidaria; Anthozoa; Scleractinia; Pocilloporidae. The record is from RefSeq and is a predicted model, not a curated record.
GAAAGUGGUGAUGAGACAUGUGAAGGCUCCACCUCUAGUGGAGUAUCAGAAAACUCCAUCGACUCUUUAGGAGAGGAUUUGCCUGAAAACCAACUCCAUUUGGAAUGCAUCAAUCCAGACAUCGUUCUUUUGAAGCGUCAGAACGGUGCGCCAUUUAAAAUCGAAUUUACGGGAAAGCUUCCUGAAGGGUUGGGAUCCGGAGUUGCGGAUUUUGAAAAUUUAGGAAAGGGAGUAAGAUUAGUGAAGAUGGGUGACAAGACUUUGUUAGGAG